Molecule: ribosomal RNA, 424 nt
Filed under: Sphaerularioidea gen. sp. EM-2016
Lineage: Eukaryota; Metazoa; Nematoda; Chromadorea; Rhabditida
Description: eukaryotic LSU rRNA
Rfam family: Eukaryotic large subunit ribosomal RNA
Source: RNAcentral
GGCGGUCGCAUGCGACACGCGCAGUUCGAGGAUGCUAUCGUUGCGAUGUUGUGUUGGUUAUUUUCAAUGUAAAAGUCGGUCAUCUAUUCGACCCGUCUUGAAACACGGACCAAGGAGUUUAACGUAUGUGCAAGUGAUUGGGUGUUAAAACCUAAACGCGAAUUGAAAGAGAAUCCGUCCUCGUGAUGGUGAUAUGCGAUCUGUUGUACUUCGGUGCAGCGGCGUAGCAUAGCCCCAUUCCUGUUGCUUGCAACGGAGUGGAGGUAGAGCAUAUACGUUGAGACCCGAAAGAUGGUGAACUAUGCCUGAGCAGGACGAAGCUAGAGGAAACUCUGGUGGAAGUCCGAAUCGGUUCUGACGUGCAAAUCGAUCGUCUGACUUGGGUAUAGGGGCGAAAGACUAAUCGAACCAUCUAGUACUGGUU